UUAAGCGACUAAGCGUACACGGUGGAUGCCCUGGCAGUCAGAGGCGAUGAAGGACGUGCUAAUCUGCGAAAAGCGUCGGUAAGGUGAUAUGAACCGUUACAGCCGGCGAUGUCCGAAUGGGGAAACCCAGUGCAAUUCGUUGCACUAUCGUUAACUGAAUACAUAGGUUAACGAGGCGAACCGGGGGAACUGAAACAUCUAAGUACCCCGAGGAAAAGAAAUCAACCGAGAUUCCCCCAGUAGCGGCGAGCGAACGGGGAGCAGCCCAGAGUCUGAAUCAGCUUGUGUGUUAGUGGAACGGUCUGGAAAGUCCGACGGUACAGGGUGAUAGUCCCGUACACCAAAAUGCACAGGCUGUGAACUCGAAGAGUAGGGCGGGACACGUGGUAUCCUGUCUGAAUAUGGGGGGACCAUCCUCCAAGGCUAAAUACUCCUGACUGACCGAUAGUGAACCAGUACCGUGAGGGAAAGGCGAAAAGAACCCCGGCGAGGGGAGUGAAAAAGAACCUGAAACCGUGUACGUACAAGCAGUGGGAGCACCUUCGGGUGUGACUGCGUACCUUUUGUAUAAUGGGUCAGCGACUUAUAUUCUGUAGCAAGGUUAACCGUAUAGGGGAGCCGCAGGGAAACCGAGUCUUAACUGGGCGUUAAGUUGCAGGGUAUAGACCCGAAACCCGGUGAUCUAGCCAUGGGCAGGUUGAAGGUUGGGUAACACUAACUGGAGGACCGAACCGACUAAUGUUGAAAAAUUAGCGGAUGACUUGUGGCUGGGGGUGAAAGGCCAAUCAAACCGGGAGAUAGCUGGUUCUCCCCGAAAGCUAUUUAGGUAGCGCCUCGUGAAUUCAUCUUCGGGGGUAGAGCACUGUUUCGGCUAGGGGGUCAUCCCGACUUACCAACCCGAUGCAAACUACGAAUACCGAAGAAUGUUAUCACGGGAGACACACGGCGGGUGCUAACGUCCGUCGUGAAGAGGGAAACAACCCAGACCGCCAGCUAAGGUCCCAAAGUCAUGGUUAAGUGGGAAACGAUGUGGGAAGGCACAGACAGCCAGGAUGUUGGCUUAGAAGCAGCCAUCAUUUAAAGAAAGCGUAAUAGCUCACUGGUCGAGUCGGCCUGCGCGGAAGAUGUAACGGGGCUAAACCAUGCACCGAAGCUGCGGCAGCGACACUAUGUGUUGUUGGGUAGGGGAGCGUUCUGUAAGCCUGCGAAGGUGACCUGUGAGGGUUGCUGGAGGUAUCAGAAGUGCGAAUGCUGACAUAAGUAACGAUAAAGCGGGUGAAAAGCCCGCUCGCCGGAAGACCAAGGGUUCCUGUCCAACGUUAAUCGGGGCAGGGUGAGUCGACCCCUAAGGCGAGGCCGAAAGGCGUAGUCGAUGGGAAACAGGUUAAUAUUCCUGUACUUGGUGUUACUGCGAAGGGGGGACGGAGAAGGCUAUGUUAGCCGGGCGACGGUUGUCCCGGUUUAAGCAUGUAGGCUGGUUAUCCAGGCAAAUCCGGAUAAUCAAGGCUGAGGUGUGAUGACGAGGCACUACGGUGCUGAAGUAACAAAUGCCCUGCUUCCAGGAAAAGCCUCUAAGCAUCAGGUAACAUCAAAUCGUACCCCAAACCGACACAGGUGGUCAGGUAGAGAAUACCAAGGCGCUUGAGAGAACUCGGGUGAAGGAACUAGGCAAAAUGGUGCCGUAACUUCGGGAGAAGGCACGCUGGUGUGUAGGUGAAGUCCCUGCGGAUGGAGCUGAGACCAGUCGAAGAUACCAGCUGGCUGCAACUGUUUAUUAAAAACACAGCACUGUGCAAACACGAAAGUGGACGUAUACGGUGUGACGCCUGCCCGGUGCCGGAAGGUUAAUUGAUGGGGUUAUCCGUAAGGAGAAGCUCUUGAUCGAAGCCCCGGUAAACGGCGGCCGUAACUAUAACGGUCCUAAGGUAGCGAAAUUCCUUGUCGGGUAAGUUCCGACCUGCACGAAUGGCGUAAUGAUGGCCAGGCUGUCUCCACCCGAGACUCAGUGAAAUUGAACUCGCUGUGAAGAUGCAGUGUACCCGCGGCAAGACGGAAAGACCCCGUGAACCUUUACUAUAGCUUGACACUGAACAUUGAGCCUUGAUGUGUAGGAUAGGUGGGAGGCUUUGAAGCGUGGACGCCAGUCUGCGUGGAGCCAACCUUGAAAUACCACCCUUUAAUGUUUGAUGUUCUAACGUUGGCCCCUGACCGGGGUUGCGGACAGUGUCUGGUGGGUAGUUUGACUGGGGCGGUCUCCUCCCAAAGCGUAACGGAGGAGCACGAAGGUUAGCUAAUCCUGGUCGGACAUCAGGAGGUUAGUGCAAUGGCAUAAGCUAGCUUGACUGCGAGCGUGACGGCGCGAGCAGGUGCGAAAGCAGGUCAUAGUGAUCCGGUGGUUCUGAAUGGAAGGGCCAUCGCUCAACGGAUAAAAGGUACUCCGGGGAUAACAGGCUGAUACCGCCCAAGAGUUCAUAUCGACGGCGGUGUUUGGCACCUCGAUGUCGGCUCAUCACAUCCUGGGGCUGAAGUAGGUCCCAAGGGUAUGGCUGUUCGCCAUUUAAAGUGGUACGCGAGCUGGGUUUAGAACGUCGUGAGACAGUUCGGUCCCUAUCUGCCGUGGGCGCUGGAGAAUUGAGGGGGGCUGCUCCUAGUACGAGAGGACCGGAGUGGACGCAUCACUGGUGUUCGGGUUGUCAUGCCAAUGGCACUGCCCGGUAGCUAAAUGCGGAAGAGAUAAGUGCUGAAAGCAUCUAAGCACGAAACUUGCCCCGAGAUGAGUUCUCCCUGAGACUUUAAGUCUCCUGAAGGAACGUUAAAGACGAUGACGUUGAUAGGCCGGGUGUGUAAGCGCAGCGAUGCGUUGAGCUAACCGGUACUAAUGAACCGUGAGGCUUAACCU
Molecule: ribosomal RNA, 2899 nt
Filed under: Klebsiella pneumoniae
Lineage: Bacteria; Pseudomonadati; Pseudomonadota; Gammaproteobacteria; Enterobacterales; Enterobacteriaceae
Description: 23S ribosomal RNA
Rfam family: Bacterial large subunit ribosomal RNA
Source: RNAcentral